Molecule: transfer RNA, 84 nt
Filed under: Candidatus Carsonella ruddii (Diaphorina cf. continua)
Lineage: Bacteria; Pseudomonadati; Pseudomonadota; Gammaproteobacteria; Oceanospirillales; Halomonadaceae
Description: tRNA-Leu
Rfam family: tRNA
About the family: Transfer RNA (tRNA) molecules are approximately 80 nucleotides in length. Their secondary structure includes four short double-helical elements and three loops (D, anti-codon, and T loops).
Source: RNAcentral
UGCCCAUAUGGCGGAAUGGUAGACGCAAGGGACUUAAAAUCCCUGGUUUAAAAAACAUGUCAGUUCAAAUCUGACUUUGGGUAA